GGAAUUGACGGAAGGGCACCACCAGGAGUGGAGCCUGCGGCUUAAUUUGACUCAACACGGGAAACCUCACCAGGCCCGGACACCGGAAGGAUUGACAGAUUGAGAGCUCUUUCUUGAUUCGGUGGGUGGUGGUGCAUGGCCGUUCUUAGUUGGUGGAGCGAUUUGUCUGGUUAAUUCCGAUAACGAACGAGACUCUGGCCUGUUAACUAGGCGUAUUUCCGACAUCUCGAAGGCCCGCCGGCCUGGUGCGUUCGCGUGCCUAGUCGUGCGCGGUUUUUACUGUCGGCGUACAAACAAUUCUUCUUAGAGGGACAGGCGGCUUCUAGCCGCACGAGAUAGAGCAAUAACAGGUCUGUGAUGCCCUUAGAUGUUCUGGGCCGCACGCGCGCUACACUGAAGGAAUCAGCGUGUCCUCCCUGGCCGAGCGGCCCGGGUAACCCGCUGAACCUCCUUCGUGCUAGGGAUUGGGGCUUGCAAUUGUUCCCCAUGAACGAGGAAUUCCCAGUAAGCGCGAGUCAUAAGCUCGCGUUGAUUACGUCCCUGCCCUUUGUACACACCGCCCGUCGCUACUACCGAUUGAAUGAUUUAGUGAGGUCUUCGGACCGGCACGCGGUGGCGUUUCGACGUCGCCGAUGAUGCUGGAAAGAUGACCAAACUUGAUCAUUU
This 666-nucleotide ribosomal RNA is filed under the name Eurrhacini sp. UPOL A00636. RNAcentral's name for it is "SSU rRNA". It matches the Rfam family "Eukaryotic small subunit ribosomal RNA", at positions 1149 to 1774 of the family's 1831-position model. Lineage: Eukaryota; Metazoa; Arthropoda; Insecta; Coleoptera; Lycidae. The record is from RNAcentral.